AUUUGAUCCAGGCUCCCCGCCUGCGCUACCGGUUCACAGGCCCGGGGCAGCUCCACCCACCCCGACCCUCACCUCCACCUUCACGAAAGGGGCGCAUCUGAGCUGUGUCGCCUGGACACCUGCACUGGUCAGACCCGGGGAUGCUGACCAGGAGAGGCCCCCUGGGAGCCUCAAAGAGGCCACGGCCCGAGGGUGGAAGUGGAAGGCAGCUCUGAGCCGCUGAGGGCACCAGAAACAGAGGCACAGAGGAUGCCCCCAGCCCAGGCAGGUGUCUCCAGGGCCUUGGGCUUGCGCUGAAGGAGAAGGACGAGAGAACCGGACGGGCUUCAGGCAGAGAGCUGCGUCUGGGGGCGGGGGUGGCUUGCAGCUGCCUGUUUGCCUCCCCGAGGAGAA
Molecule: long non-coding RNA, 393 nt
Organism: Bos taurus (domestic cattle)
Lineage: Eukaryota; Metazoa; Chordata; Mammalia; Artiodactyla; Bovidae
Source: Ensembl